GAUGAACGCUGGCGGCGCGCCUAACACAUGCAAGUCGAACGGCACCCCCCUCGGGGGGGAAGCGAGUGGCGAACGGCUGAGUAACACGUGGAGAACCUGCCCCCUCCUCGGGAAUAGCCGCGGGAAACCGCGGGUAAUGCCCGACGACCCGGGGACCGCGCAUGCGGCCCCCGGCAAAGCCCAGGCGGGAGGGGAUGGCUCCGCGGCCCAUCAGGUAGACGGCGGGGUGACGGCCCACCGUGCCGACAACGGGUAGCCGGGUUGAGAGACCGACCGGCCAGAUUGGGACUGAGACACGGCCCAGAUUCCUACGGGAGGCAGCAGUGGGGAAUCUUGCGCAAUGGGGGCAACCCUGACGCAGCGACGCCGCGUGCGGGACGGAGGCCUUCGGGUCGUAAACCGCUUUCAGCAGGGAAGAGACAAGACUGUACCUGCAGAAGAAGCCCCGGCUAACUACGUGCCAGCAGCCGCGGUAAUACGUAGGGGGCGAGCGUUAUCCGGAUUCAUUGGGCGUAAAGCGCGCGUAGGCGGCCUGGCAGGCCGGGGGUCAAAUGCGGGGGCUCAACCCCCGCCCGCCCCCGGAACCUCUAGGCUUGGGUCCGGUAGGGGAGGGUGGAACACCCGGUGUAGCGGUGGAAUGCGCAGAUAUCGGGUGGAACACCGGUGGCGAAGGCGGCCCUCUGGGCCGUGACCGACGCUGAGGCGCGAAAGCUGGGGGAGCGAACAGGAUUAGAUACCCUGGUAGUCCCAGCCGUAAACGAU
This 762-nucleotide ribosomal RNA is filed under the name uncultured bacterium. Its description in RNAcentral is "bacterial SSU rRNA". It matches the Rfam family "Bacterial small subunit ribosomal RNA", at positions 28 to 810 of the family's 1533-position model. The record is from RNAcentral.